AUACGUAGGGGGCGAGCGUUGUCCGGAAUUAUUGGGCGUAAAGGGCGCGUAGGCGGGCAUAUAAGUCUGAUGUGAAAGUGCGGGGCUUAACCCCGUAAAGCAUUGGAAACUGUAUGUCUUGAGUACAGGAGAGGAAAGUGGAAUUCCACGUGUAGCGGUGAAAUGCGUAGAGAUGUGGAGGAACACCAGUGGCGAAGGCGACUUUCUGGACUGUAACUGACGCUGAGGCGCGAAAGCGUGGGUAGCGAACAGGAUUAGAUACCCUGGUAGUCCACGCCGUAAACGAUGAGUGCUAGGUGUAGAGGGUAUCGACCCCUUCUGUGCCGCAGUAAACACAAUAAGCACUCCGCCUGGGGAGUACGGCCGCAAGGCUAAA
This 376-nucleotide ribosomal RNA is filed under the name uncultured bacterium. RNAcentral's name for it is "bacterial SSU rRNA". It matches the Rfam family "Bacterial small subunit ribosomal RNA", at positions 523 to 898 of the family's 1533-position model. The record is from RNAcentral.